GACGAACGCUGGCGGCGUGCCUAACACAUGCAAGUCGAACGGAGAUAUGAUUUCGGUUGUAUCUUAGUGGCGAACGGGUGAGUAACGCGUGAGCAACCUGACUCUUAGAGGGGGAUAACACUCGGAAACGGGUGCUAAUACCGCAUAAGACCACGACAUGGCAUCAUGACGAGGUCAAAGGAGCAAUCCGCUGAGAGAGGGGCUCGCGUCCCAUUAGAUAGAUGGCGGGGUAACGGCCCACCAUGUCAACGAUGGGUAGCCGAGCUGAGAGGCUGAUCGGCCACACUGGAACUGAGACACGGUCCAGACUCCUACGGGAGGCAGCAGUGGGGAAUAUUGGGCAAUGGGCGCAAGCCUGACCCAGCAACGCCGCGUGAGGGAAGAAGGCUUUCGGGUUGUAAACCUCUGUCCUUGGUGACGAAAAAAAUGACGGUAGCCAAGGAGGAAGCCCCGGCUAACUACGUG
Molecule: ribosomal RNA, 465 nt
Filed under: uncultured organism
Description: bacterial SSU rRNA
Rfam family: Bacterial small subunit ribosomal RNA
Source: RNAcentral